GCGAGGUGAGGUGAUUGUUGAAUGUGUGAUGUGUGGCUAGAUUAGAUUUUAGAAAGUCGAGUUCCUGUCGUCGUUGGACUAUUGACAAAUUACUUUAUAUUGUAUGAUGGAUGGAUGCAUGGAUGCAUGGUGUGUGUGUGUGUGUGAAGUGAUUUGUACACGGCUUUUGAUUUUGUGUGGAAUGUCGUUUAAUGUGUGUGUGUGUUGGGAAGCAUAGCGUGUAUUCAAAUCGACUUGAGGUGAGGUGAGGAAGGAGAAUAUACAUGUAAUGAUGAAUGAAUGAAUUAUGACCUCAACUCAGGCAAGACUACCUGCUGAACUUAAGCAUAUCAGUAAGCAGAGGAAAAGAAAACAACUGUGAUUCCCUUAGUAACUGCGAGUGAAGCGGGAAAAGCCCAUCGUUUAAUCUUCCCGGACCAUGGACGGGACGAAAUGUAACGGUAUGGAUAGGUUCUCUACCAACUAUGUCUGAUCAAAGUCCUCCGGAUUGAGGUGCCAAAGAGGGUGACAGCCCCGUGUGUGAUUGGAUGGCGUUGGGUAUGUGACCGAUUCCGAGAGUCGG
RNAcentral lists this ribosomal RNA (562 nucleotides) under Kudoa hexapunctata. RNAcentral's name for it is "eukaryotic LSU rRNA". The stretch from base 288 to 562 matches the Rfam family "Eukaryotic large subunit ribosomal RNA", at positions 1 to 268 of the family's 3401-position model. The record is from RNAcentral. Lineage: Eukaryota; Metazoa; Cnidaria; Myxozoa; Multivalvulida; Kudoidae.